AACGAACGCUGGCGGCAGGCCUAACACAUGCAAGUCGAACGCUCGUAGCAAUACGGGAGUGGCAGACGGGUGAGUAACACGUGGGAACCUUCCCUAUGGUUCGGAAUAGCUCAGGGAAACUUGGGGUAAUACCGGAUAAGCCCUUCGGGGAAGGAUUUAUCGCCAUUGGAUGGGCCCGCCGUCGGAUUAGCUAGUUGGUGAGGUAACGGCUCACCAAGGCAACAAUCCGCAGCUGGUCUGAGAGGAUGAUCAGCCACACUGGGACUGAGACACGGCCCAGACUCCUACGGGAGGCAGCAGUGGGGAAUAUUGGACAAUGGGCGCAAGCCUGAUCCAGCCAUGCCGCGUGAGUGACGAAGGUCUUCGGAUUGUAAACUCUUUUGGCGGGACGAUAAUGACGGUACCCGCAGAAUAAGCCCCGGCUAACUUCGUGCCAGCCGCCGCAGUAAU
This 450-nucleotide ribosomal RNA is filed under the name uncultured bacterium. Its description in RNAcentral is "bacterial SSU rRNA". It matches the Rfam family "Bacterial small subunit ribosomal RNA", at positions 29 to 524 of the family's 1533-position model. The record is from RNAcentral.